RNAcentral lists this ribosomal RNA (179 nucleotides) under uncultured bacterium. Its description in RNAcentral is "partial 16S ribosomal RNA". It matches the Rfam family "Bacterial small subunit ribosomal RNA", at positions 1320 to 1500 of the family's 1533-position model. The record is from RNAcentral.
AUGAAGCUGGAAUUGCUAGUAAUGGCAGGUCAGCAUACUGCCGUGAAUACGUUCCCGGGCCUUGUACACACCGCCCGUCACACCAUGAGAGUUGGAAAUACCCGAAGCCUGUGAGCUAACAAACGAGGCAGCAGUCGAAGGUAGAGCCAAUGAUUGGGGUGAAGUCGUAACAAGGUACC